GACGAACGCUGGCGGCGUGCUUAACACAUGCAAGUCGAACGGUAAGGCUCCAGCUUGCUGGGGUACACGAGUGGCGAACGGGUGAGUAACACGUGGGUGACCUGCCCUGCACUUCGGGAUAAGCCUGGGAAACUGGGUCUAAUACCGGAUAGGACCGCACCGUGAGGAUGUGGUGGAAAGUUUUUUCGGUGUGGGAUGGGCCCGCGGCCUAUCAGCUUGUUGGUGGGGUAAUGGCCUACCAAGGCGGCGACGGGUAGCCGGCCUGAGAGGGUGGACGGCCACAUUGGGACUGAGACACGGCCCAGACUCCUACGGGAGGCAGCAGUGGGGAAUAUUGCACAAUGGGCGGAAGCCUGAUGCAGCGACGCCGCGUGGGGGAUGACGGCCUUCGGGUUGUAAACUCCUUUCACCAUCGACGAAGGGUUUCUGACGGUAGAUGGAGAAGAAGCACCGGCUAACUACGUGCCAGCAGCCGCGGUAAUACGUAGGGUGCGAGCGUUGUCCGGAAUUACUGGGCGUAAAGAGCUCGUAGGUGGUUUGUCGCGUCGUCUGUGAAAUUCCGGGGCUUAACUCCGGGCGUGCAGGCGAUACGGGCAUAACUUGAGUACUGUAGGGGAGACUGGAAUUCCUGGUGUAGCGGUGAAAUGCGCAGAUAUCAGGAGGAACACCGGUGGCGAAGGCGGGUCUCUGGGCAGUAACUGACGCUGAGGAGCGAAAGCAUGGGGAGCGAACAGGAUUAGAUACCCUGGUGGUCCAUGCCGUAAACGGUGGGCGCUAGGUGUGGGUUUCCUUCCACGGGAUCCGUGCCGUAGCUAACGCAUUAAGCGCCCCGCCUGGGGAGUACGGCCGCAAGGCUAAAACUCAAAGGAAUUGACGGGGGCCCGCACAAGCGGCGGAGCAUGUGGAUUAAUUCGAUGCAACGCGAAGAACCUUACCUGGGCUUGACAUAUACAGGAUCGCGCCAGAGAUGGUGUUUCCCUUGUGGCUUGUAUACAGGUGGUGCAUGGUUGUCGUCAGCUCGUGUCGUGAGAUGUUGGGUUAAGUCCCGCAACGAGCGCAACCCUUGUCUUAUGUUGCCAGCACGUUGUGGUGGGGACUCGUAAGAAACUGCCGGGGUUAACUCGGAGGAAGGUGGGGAUGACGUCAAAUCAUCAUGCCCCUUAUGUCCAGGGCUUCACACAUGCUACAAUGGUCGGUACAGUGGGUUGCCAGUCCGUGAGGGCGAGCUAAUCCCGCAAAGCCGGUCUCAGUUCGGAUCGGGGUCUGCAACUCGACCCCGUGAAGUCGGAGUCGCUAGUAAUCGCAGAUCAGCAACGCUGCGGUGAAUACAAUCGCGGGCCU
RNAcentral lists this ribosomal RNA (1341 nucleotides) under uncultured bacterium. RNAcentral's name for it is "partial 16S ribosomal RNA". It matches the Rfam family "Bacterial small subunit ribosomal RNA", at positions 28 to 1381 of the family's 1533-position model. The record is from RNAcentral.